This 440-nucleotide ribosomal RNA is filed under the name uncultured bacterium. RNAcentral's name for it is "partial 16S ribosomal RNA". It matches the Rfam family "Bacterial small subunit ribosomal RNA", at positions 338 to 795 of the family's 1533-position model. The record is from RNAcentral.
CCUACGGGAGGCAGCAGUGGGGAAUAUUGCACAAUGGGGGAAACCCUGAUGCAGCGACGCCGCGUGAGUGAAGAAGUAUUUCGGUAUGUAAAGCUCUAUCAGCAGGGAAGAAAAUGACGGUACCUGAAGAAGAAGCCCCGGCUAACGACGUGCCAGCAGCCGCGGUAAGACGUAGGGGGCAAGCGUUCUCCGGAUUUACUGGGUGUAAAGGGGGCGCAGACGGCGAUGCAAGCCAGGAGUGAAAGCCCGGGGCCCAACCCCGGGACUGCUCUUGGAACUGCGUGGCUAGAGUGCAGGAGGGGCAGGCGGAAUUCCUGGUGUAGCGGUGAAAUGCGUAGAUAUCAGGAGGAACCCCGGUGGCGAAGGCGGCCUGCUGGACUGCAACUGCCGUUGAGGCCCGACAGCGUGGGGAGCAAACCGGAUUAGAUACCCCAGUAGUC